UACAGAGGGUGCAAGCGUUAAUCGGAAUUACUGGGCGUAAAGCGCGCGUAGGUGGUUUGUUAAGUUGGAUGUGAAAUCCCCGGGCUCAACCUGGGAACUGCAUCCAAAACUGGCAAGCUAGAGUAUGGUAGAGGGUGGUGGAAUUUCCUGUGUAGCGGUGAAAUGCGUAGAUAUAGGAAGGAACACCAGUGGCGAAGGCGACCACCUGGACUGAUACUGACACUGAGGUGCGAAAGCGUGGGAGCAAACAGG
Molecule: ribosomal RNA, 252 nt
Filed under: uncultured bacterium
Lineage: Bacteria
Description: partial 16S ribosomal RNA
Rfam family: Bacterial small subunit ribosomal RNA
Source: RNAcentral